Long non-coding RNA from Sus scrofa (pig), 7928 nucleotides. RefSeq lists it as uncharacterized. NCBI's taxonomy places the organism in Eukaryota, Metazoa, Chordata, Mammalia, Artiodactyla, Suidae. The record is from RefSeq and is a predicted model, not a curated record.
UGGCCCGUCCAGCAGGAGUUAGCCACAGGGAGGGCCGCGGGCCCGGGCUGAGUUGUGGGGGAGGAGGUGGCAGUUUAGGGCCUCAGGGGACAGAUGGGGGCGGUGACAGAGUCAGAAGAUACUGGCGGGCUGGGGGUGGGAGUGUGCCUGCUGGAGGCAGGUUAGAGGGGAGACUAGACCUUAGGGAAGUCUUGCAGGGCAGAGCUGCCUCGAAAGGGCCCGCAGGAACCCAGGGAGAGGAGCAGACUCCAGGCCUGGCUGUCGCUGCUGCCCGCUGGAGAAGGGGAACUUGACCCCUGGGAGGGGGCCGCUUCUGCGUAGGCUGGGCGGCCCCCUGUGCCCUGCUUUGUCUGAAGGAGGGAGGCAGAGACUGGAGGAGGCUGAGGGUCUCGCCACCCUUGCUGGAGGCGAUAUCUGGCCGUCGAUGCCCUGAACAUGAGCAAGAAGGCAGGCCGUGGGGUGCGGGGUCGCAGUUAGGCUGGGAAGGCAGCACUUGAACUUGUCAAUACCAGCCGCCCCCUUUUUUUCCAGACAAAGGGGUGUGAGCCCGCCUGGGGAUGAGGCCUGGUGUGGUGGCAACUGACCUUAGCUUCGCGGGGCUGACAGCUCCGGCCCAGGGCGGUGGCAGUGCUCCCUUUUGGACUUUUCCUGUAGGUUCCGUGCUAACCUCUUCUGUGAGCUCACUCUGCCCCUCCUCCUCCUCCUCCUCCCUUUAACUCCCUCGAGGUUCCCCAUUGGCUUAAGCGUUGCUUCUGGUAAUCUGGUAAGCCCGGGAAGUUGCUCCAGUCCCUGUUGGAGUCGGUACUGCUGGUAAUCCUGAAGGAGGAGAGGCCUCCCCUGUUGAGACUCUGGGUGGGUGGGUGGCUUGCAGGUGGAGGGGGUGGGGCGUGGAUGUGCACCCCCCGGGUGGGCCCGCGGCCAUGGUACCAGCUGAAAGCUACGCAAAUGCCCUCAUAGAUGGUGGUUUGUUGCUGUAGUGUUCAUCAUGGCGAGCUGAUGGCACCAGGAGGAUGGAGCCCCUGGCCAGUGUGAGUCCUAGCAGUGCAGGAGGGGAGACCCUGGAGGAGAGAGCCCGCCUAAAUUGAUGUCUGCAGAUUGAAUUUCCAGAGGCUUAGGAGGAGGAAGUUCUCCAAUGUCCCGUGUCCAGGCCUUGGCUCAGGAAGCCCUGUAUUCAGGAGGCCACCCUUUAAGGGUGUCAUUGAGCUUGUGAGAGGGUGAUGGUUCCAAGUCCCAAGCAGAUGCAUCCGGGGUCGUCAGCAGAUGUGUUGAGUGUUUGAUCCGGAGCACCAACCUCUGGGCACGUUGAAUGCCAGCAGGCACCUCUCCUGUUCGGGGGUGGAGGUUUUCCGAUGGCUGCGUCUUCUAAUGCUUCCUGUCAUGCUAGUUCUGUGCUACGAACCUUGCCUCCAGAAGACUCUUAAGAUGUAGAACAUUUUAACGCUGAUGCCUCAACGCAGAGUGAUGCCUGGUAGAUGGAGCUUGCAGAUGGAGCCCAGGGACCCUGUCAUCUACUCACCUGCCUGCCCCAGCCUCGGUCGGAGGAAUUCUUAGUGUGAUGAUGUAACCUGUGUGUCCAGAAAGUGUUUACUGUUGAAACGCCUUAGGCCAAUACUCACAGGAAGCCACCUGGCAAACUGAGGGGGUCAUUGUGUUGUGCUGUGGUCUGGGAGGGUACAAGGUGGUGCUGCCUAAGUGGGGAUGGAAAUGCAGGUCUGGUUUGGGCAUCCCUACUACAAGAAGGGUGUGGUCAGGGUACUGAUAGUGAUCUCUGCUCCAUCUUGGCCUAUAUACUUUUUAACUUGAAUUUUAUUUGAUUAGAUUUCAAAGUAAUUUUAGUCUUCAAAUGAGGGGACCCGGAGGUGAGGGAUUGGGAGGGAGGGGAUGAUUUGGCCCUGGCGCUGGGGACGGGGAGGGGGGGAAAGAAAGGGAGAGGGUUGCGAUUAGAUGUGGGUUCUGUAGGGUGGGAGUGGUUGGGAGUGUGGGUCGGAGGGAAUUUUCUGGAGAAAAUAUCAAUAGGCAGAGCUCUGGGGAGUUACGUAGAGCUCGUGGGAGAAGAAAAUGUUAGUUAAUAGUAAAUUGUUAACACUAGUUGUUGCUUGGAAGCGCAAAAGUUGCUUGCAAAUUUUCUAAAAUGCUUAGAACUCUUAAUUGCAGGAAGGAAAGCAAAAUUGUUUUGCUUUGCAAGAUGGGGAGGACUGGGAAAGGUAACAGCCUGGUUAUCAGUCACUUGAAAGACUGGUGUCAGGAACUUGCAUCAGCAGAUUAACAUCUUUCACCGCUUUGCAAACUUCAAAGUGGUUUAUCUGAAUGUGUGCAGAAUCCCGAGCAGUCUUAAGACUCUAAAUACCCAAAUUGGGGGCUUUUGAAGUAUUAUGUUUCAGAUUUUGGUGUGCACUUAAAAGAUGGUCAGAUGGACUUUUCUGGGUUUGUAACAUCUUAGCUGAGGUUUUGCAAUUGAAAACUUGAGCAGAGUGAAAAUGGUUUCUAGAGGAAUUCCGCAUGUCAUCUCCUGCCUUAUUAAACACAUCUCUUGUCUUUGUGAUUGGUACUAGUACCAGCAGAAGUUUUUCCUGUUAACCUUUUUGUCCUUGUUGUGACAAGAAGAACGUAGUAACCUUGUGACCGCUGUCGUCACUGUAUGUUUGGUAGCAAAUAGUCCAUGUAUCCUUGAUAAGGUUUCAGUUCAUAAUCCGCUGUAUCUUUAGUUUGAAUGUUUGUGCUUUUUAAGUGACCCAGUACUUCAUGUGGGAAACUAUUAAACCAAAAUCAGUUUUGGAAAUGAGAACAAAACUAGGGCUGGGCAAGUGCUUUAGAUACGGUCUGUAAAAAUCCAGGGGAAGAUCUGAACUCUUAUGAUACUUGUUUCUGAGAUGCACCUAUUUAAUUGGUAAAGUAACAGCUGUGGCUUUUUAUCAUCUCCCUUUUCCCCUUAAAUUUACUUUGAAAAUUUUAAAUCCCCACUACUUAUUACCCUUGGGAGUUACGUCUUCUGGGUUCUUUGGUGAUGUUUAAAAAUAUGUUGACAUGUAGUUCAAUUCUUAACCUGUGACUUGGGCAUGAUGCGGUGACUCAUUGGAAUUUGAAGAGCACCAGUCACGCGUGUCGGGAAAUAUGUUGCGUUAUGCUGUUGUGAAAUCGAAACUGUAAAAGUAGGUGGUGAAAAUCACGUCUCUGUUGCUCUGUGUGGUGAGAACCAGUCCUGUUGCAUCAUGUAUGAUGACUAAUCAUUUUUCUUCCCCUUCACAGCACAAAUAAAGGUUUGAGUUCUAAACUCAUUGGCAUUGUAUCCCUAUGUUAUAUUUUUCCACCUUGAUCUUGUCUGUGUAUCAAGUUGCCUUCAUCGUGAAUUGAACGUAUCUUCAUAUUAAUAUAGCUUUAGGCCUGGAUUCACUUUUUAGUAGCUCCAGGUUGAGGUCAUUCAAUGGAGUGUGGGAACCUCCAGCAGAGCUGGUGUGUUCUGAAAGGUCUGUAAACGGGCGGGUGGGGAGGGAGCUCUGCUCACUGCGGGUGUGUGAAGAUUCUGCAGGAUGUGACGUCACCCCGCCAAGCCAAUGAGGGGCCUGUCAGGGUGGGGGGCACUUUCUAGUGGCCUGGAGUUCCACCGGGUCAUAUUUCCAGGUGGUAUCGUCCGAAGGAGGACCUCUAUUCCUGUUGGCUUCAAGGAGUAGGAAGGACAAUAUAAUACUUAUAUUUGUCUUUGGGGAGCCUACCAUGUACCUGGGGUUUGGGUUUAAGCACAUAAUUCUCAUUUUACUGAAGGAUUGGGCUUAAGUUUUUUUGGGUGAGUGAUGCAGGGGUUGGGUUCAGUUGUGUAACUGUUGUGCUAAGCUGGCCAAGAGGGUGUGAGUAGAAGCACUUGGACCAGAUUGAUCCUGCGUCCUGGGAGCUCUUCUGCUGCAGUUCUUUAGGGCUGUAAGGUGACCAACUUAGGGCUCAGAAGAAAACCCACUGGCAGCCUCUGCUGAGAAGGCUUGUUUCCAAGGGCGUGGGAAGGGGAAGAAAGACCUGACAUGAGCCAGGCGUGACCACCCCAAGGAGGUGGGAGAGCGCUGUCGGCCUCACUCCCUCCUGUUUGUCGGCCUCCUCGGUCCUCGUGAGCCCUCAUGUGUUUGCUGCUGAGAAAUGACUUGGGUGCCCACCAGCAAGCUGCCUGUCAGGGUGCGUGGCUCUGCUGGGAGUGGGUGCCGCUGGCCAGGUCCCGGGAGCCCCUCCGUGCUCGCAGGCCCGUCCCUUGAUCCCCAGCACAGUUGAAGGCUUCCUUUCCUGCGUCCUUUACCUUUUUGCCUUUUGCCCAGCCUUCCACCUGCCUGGCCCUCUUUUCAGAGCUUGUUUCUCCCCUGGUCCUGAUACAGUGAUUCCUAAACUCUUGCUUCCAACCUUGACGGACACUGCUACAAACAUCUGUGUGCCGUCUCCUAGGGACUGCGUGUGUUCAGUGAGAAAAGAAUUUCCCAGCAGGGGUGUAAAUGUUUGUCAUUGGAAGGGCUUAUAACACGGGGCUGCUAACAGGACCAGGGCAGGUAGUUGAGAGCUGCAUGUGCGCCCUCCAGGCCUCUGCCCGGUCUUCACCCCCACUUAUCCUCAGGUAGCAGGUGUUGGCUGUGUGGGCCCUUGCUAAGCAGCGUGCUUGCUCACGCGUCGAUCUGAAUCCAGCCUUUCCUCUCAACUCCCAGAGGCGGCGGAUGGUGCGGUGAAAUUCAGUGAGGGGGGGUUGUAGCCAUGGGUAGAAACUGCAGAAAUGGCCUGUGUUACAGAAGGGAUUGGACGGUAACGGCCCCACCACACACACCCUAUUGACUGCUCCUGGUUUGUCUGACUGACCAUGGCCGGGGCCUCCUAGGACCUCUUCUCUCUCUACAGAUCAAGUUUCUGGAGGACAUGUUAACCUCUCGCCUUGAGCAGUGCUUGUUUUUGUGCUGUGCUGAUAUUAAAUGAAAGGCCAAAUGAGGCUUCAGAUGUGUGUGGUAUGUGUUAUGUGUUCAUAUUUAACACAAAAAUAGAGUGAUGCAGUCUGGAAGUGGCAAGAGGAAGAUACCAAAAUAACCCCAAAUCAGGAAGAUGUGAAGCUGUGUGUCUCAGGGAGUGUGGCCUUGACCACCUGGUUGGCCAGGUAGGACACUGCUGGAAGCCCUCCGAGCCCCGCAGCUCUGUACCGCCGAAGCUCUUUUCUUUUAAAUAACUCUCAGUUAAGUUCUCUUGUUGUGAAGGAAGUUUAUUGUGAGGUUUACGAAUAAGAAAACUUAUAAGCAAAAUCCUCAGUAAUCUUCCAUUGACAAUUGUUUUGGCAUAUUUGCUUCUAGAGUUUUCUUCCUAUGCAUAGGUUAUAUGCCUUUUUAAACAAAAAAGGAAUUCUGCUGUAAAUUGUUUUGCAAUUCCUCUUAAUGUACAAUGAGUAUCUUGUUGCUGGAAACAUCUCUUGUGGUGUCGUAAUAUUCCAUUGUAUCCAUUUAAACAAUCUUGUUUAGAUGACAGACAAGUCAUUUUCCAGUUUUUUUUUUUGCCCCCUUAGGAAGUAAGGCUUUCUGACUGUUCCUGUAGCUCAAACUGUAUCACACCGGGUGAUCUUUCUUUGGGCGACAUGAAUGCAUUUCUGCAUGUGAGUUGCCUUGUCCACCUUCUUAAGACUUUAGUUCAUAUUGUUAAACUGUCCUCCUGGGAGGGGUUUUCUCAGGGAGCUUCUCACUGUUGGGGUGAACCCAGCGCUGUCUCCCCGUUCCUCAGCCUGGGUAGCGCGCUAAGAACCUUUGCUCCCUGGGUGGGUCCAGGCGUUACCCGUGGGUGUGGGCACAGCUGUGACCUGAACAUCUGCAGUGUUGUUUGUGCACCUGUGUGCCUUUCCACUUCUUAAUGGCUCAUUUUUCUAUUAAUCUGUGAAAGCAUAUGUAUUAACAGUGCAUUAUGGUUGAUGCAGGUAUUUUUUGCAGUUUACAGAUUGCCUUUUCAUUGGUGUAUUGUGUUUCAAACAUAACAAAAGUUACUUUUUUCUGAAGUUGUUCUUUAUGCUUUCUGUGCUCGUGCUAUGCUUAGAUCACUCACCCCCGAAGUGUGUUAAUCUUACUCUGUAUUAUUUUGUGACACUUGUACGGUCCAGUUUGUUAACAUUUAAACACACAAUCCACCUGGAGUUUGUAGUGCAGCCUGUGUGUGUGGCUGGGGAGGCCUGAUGCCCCCUCAGAACCCCUGAGCCUGCUUUCUCCAGGCACCCACCUCAUCUUAACGUUUGAGACCAUCAGGCAGCCCUGGUCGAGGGCGGGUGGCCAAGAGCAGGGGCAGACGGACAGAUCUGGUUCCACUCCUGCCUGGGGAGCUUUACGACUGGGAGCAAAUGACUGAGCCUGGCCACGCCCGGGAAGUGGGGGUGAAGGUCGUGUAUCUGGUGCACAGCGACUGCUCACUCAGUGUCGCAGCGAUGCUUCCUCUCCCUCACUGGCCAGCCUCAGACCCAGCCGCUUCCUCCCGGGUCCCUCUCCCCAGCCUCUAGUGGCCUGUCUGCCUUGCUCUGGGCCUUUGAGGUAGUGGGAGUCUGUGGGCCUGUCCUGGCCUCUUCCGGUUUUACUCUCAGUUUUGUUUCCAUUCACAUUUUCCGGUAUCAGCGGAGUCCACAAAUGCAUUGAAAAUGGCUCUUAGGGCUGUUAAUUCUUCCGCGGGAAUUCCAUGGAAGGCUUCCAGAGGCCUGUAAGUGCUUGAAACUGUGUGUGUGUAUAUGUGUGUAUGUAUAUUAUAUAUAUAUAUAUAAUAUUUUUUUCCCUGUGGAUGGAAAGCAUAAGCUUGCUGAAGGGGUCCAAGACCUCGAUAUCACCAAUAAACAAUUGUGUUACUGUAUCCGUUGCGCUUACACUGUGGGAUGUUGAACUGAUUUCUUAAGGUGUAAAGUGUUUUGACUGUUUUCACUUGUGCUGCUGUGAUUGUGCAUCUCUCUAAAUUUUGUGAAAAUAUCUAAAUAUGUAUUGGUACAAAUACAUACAUCCUGCCUGUUCCCUAAGGGGGCCUUGCCUGGUCACUGAGCAUGUGUGGUCUUAGAACUCUUGCCACAGCCUCGCAGCUGCUCUAGAAACCUUGCACUUGCUCUUGUGAGAAUAUCUGUUUCCCUUCAUAACUGCCUAUGUGAGGUUUUUCUGUUUUAUUUAUUGUAUGGUAAAAUACACACAACACAAAUGUCACCAUCUUAACCAUUUUAACGUGUACAAUUCAGUAGCGUUAAGUUUAUUCACGUUGUUGUGAAUAUAACCAAUCCCCGAAACUUUCUCAGCUUGCAAAAUUGAAACCUCUGUGCCCCUGAAACUCCUCAUUCCCUUCUCCCCCAGCCCUGGCGGCCACCAUUCUACUUCUCUGUUUCUAUGGGUUCGACAACUUUAGGCACCUCUUAUUAAGUGGAACCAUAUAGUGUUUGUCUUGUCGGCACUGGCUUAUUUUACUCCGUGAUCUCCUCUAGGUUCGUGUGUGUUAUUCCACAUAUCAAGAUGCUUCCCUUUGUAGAAGAGCGUCCCGUGGUACGCGCGCCACGUCUUAUCGAUCCAUUCAGCCAUCCGUGAGCACCUGGCUUGUUCCACUUCUGUUACUGUGAAUAAUGCGCUUAUGAACAUGGGUGUACAAAUACCUUUUGGAGACACUGCUUUCAGUUCUUUGGGGGUAUAUAGGUGGUAUUGCUGCAUUUUGGAGGGAACUGCCAUACUGUUUUCCAUAACAGCUACACCAUUUUACCCUCCUCCCAACAGUUGACAAGGGUUCCCAUUUUCCGCUUCUUCACCAGUGCUUGUUUCUUUAUAGCAGCCUGAUGGGUAUGAAGGAUUUCAUGGUGGUUUUGCUUUGAACUUCCCUCAUAAUUAGUGGUGUUGAACAUCUUUCCAAAUGCUAGUUGGUCAUUUGUGUAUCAGCUUUGAAGAAAUGCCUCUUCAGGUCUUUUGCCCAUUACAAAAAAAACAAAACAG